GUGGGCCCCCGAACUGAUUCGGGCUCGGCCGAUCCUCCCACCCUUUGUGUACCUACCUCUGUUGCUUUGGCGGGCCGCGGUCCUCCGCGGCCGCCCCCCUCCCCGGGGGGGUGGCCAGCGCCCGCCAGAGGACCAUCAAACUCCAGUCAGUAAACGAUGCAGUCUGAAAAACAUUUAAUAAACUAAAACUUUCAACAACGGAUCUCUUGGUUCUGGCAUCGAUGAAGAACGCAGCGAAAUGCGAUAAGUAAUGUGAAUUGCAGAAUUCAGUGAAUCAUCGAAUCUUUGAACGCACAUUGCGCCCUUUGGUAUUCCGAAGGGCAUGCCUGUUCGAGCGUCAUUACAACCCUCAAGCUCUGCUUGGUAUUGGGCACCGUCCUUUGCGGGCGCGCCUCAAAGACCUCGGCGGUGGCGUCUUGCCUCAAGCGUAGUAGAACAUACAUCUCGCUUCGGAGCGCAGGGCGUCGCCCGCCGGACGAACCUUCUGAACUUUUCUCAAGGUUGACCUCGGAUCAGGUAGGGAUACCCGCUGAACUUAAGCAUAUCAAUAACCCGGAGGAA
Molecule: ribosomal RNA, 561 nt
Filed under: fungal sp.
Lineage: Eukaryota; Fungi
Description: eukaryotic LSU rRNA
Rfam family: 5.8S ribosomal RNA (bases 187-340)
Source: RNAcentral